RNAcentral lists this small nucleolar RNA (135 nucleotides) under Neotoma lepida (desert woodrat). RNAcentral's name for it is "Small nucleolar RNA U109". It matches the Rfam family "Small nucleolar RNA U109". Lineage: Eukaryota; Metazoa; Chordata; Mammalia; Rodentia; Cricetidae. The record is from Rfam by way of RNAcentral.
UUGCAUGUGGAAGUACCUUCUCCUCGUUCUCUUUGGAGCAGGAAUACAUCCAGAACAUGCUACAUUACAUGAGGAGUUCUCAGGGCUGUCAACCUUACAGUAGAGGUUGAGUGGUAGUAUAUUUCUCCUACACAA